UCUCGGUGUGGUUGCCUCGACUGGCGAC
Molecule: non-coding RNA, 28 nt
Filed under: Bombyx mori (domestic silkworm)
Lineage: Eukaryota; Metazoa; Arthropoda; Insecta; Lepidoptera; Bombycidae
Source: RNAcentral